GGGCGGUUAGCUCAGAUGGUUAGAGCGCCACGUUGACAUCGUGGAGGCCACAGGUUCGAUUCCUGUAUCGCCCACCA
Molecule: transfer RNA, 77 nt
Filed under: Gammaproteobacteria bacterium
Lineage: Bacteria; Pseudomonadati; Pseudomonadota; Gammaproteobacteria
Also listed under: 1 other name
Description: tRNA-Val
Rfam family: tRNA
About the family: Transfer RNA (tRNA) molecules are approximately 80 nucleotides in length.
Source: RNAcentral